AACGGCCGUACCAUGCUGAAUAUACCGGUUCUCGUCAAAUCACCGAAGUUAAGCAUCAUUGGGCGCGGUCAGUACUUGGGUGGGUGACCACCUGGGAACUCUACGUGCCGUU
This 112-nucleotide ribosomal RNA is filed under the name Caerostris darwini. The record is from RNAcentral. Lineage: Eukaryota; Metazoa; Arthropoda; Arachnida; Araneae; Araneidae.